GAUGAACGCUAGCUACAGGCUUAACACAUGCAAGUCGAGGGGUAACGAGAGGAAAGCUUGCUUUCCUUGUCGACGACCGGCGCACGGGUGAGUAACGCGUAUCCAACCUGCCCCCAACUAGGGAAUAACCUUGCGAAAGUAAGACUAAUACCCUAUAAUUUCCUCAGAUGUCAUCUGACGAGGAAUAAAGAUUUAUCGGUUGUGGAUGGGGAUGCGUCUGAUUAGCUUGUUGGCGGGGUAACGGCCCACCAAGGCAACGAUCAGUAGGGGUUCUGAGAGGAAGGUCCCCCACAUUGGAACUGAGACACGGUCCAAACUCCUACGGGAGGCAGCAGUGAGGAAUAUUGGUCAAUGGGCGGAAGCCUGAACCAGCCAAGUAGCGUGCAGGAUGACGGCCCUAUGGGUUGUAAACUGCUUUUAUACGGGAAUAAAGUAAGCCACGUGUGGUUAUUUGUAGGUACUGUAUGGAUAAGGACCGGCUAAUUUCGUGCCAGCCGCCGCGGUAA
RNAcentral lists this ribosomal RNA (506 nucleotides) under uncultured bacterium. RNAcentral describes it as "partial 16S ribosomal RNA". It matches the Rfam family "Bacterial small subunit ribosomal RNA", at positions 28 to 523 of the family's 1533-position model. The record is from RNAcentral.